UGAGUACGAGAUGCUACGGCGUCGAAGCAGUCUAGGUCAUACUUCCAAGAAAAGCUUGCACUGUCAUAAACAAAGAAUGCCUGUACCAUAACCGACACAGGUGGGUAGGUAGAGUAUACUAAGGGGCGCGAGAUAACUCUCUCUAAGGAACUCGGCAAAAUGACUCCGUAACUUCGGGAGAAGGAGUGCCUUAUUUUUAAGGUUGCAAUAACAAGAUCCAAGCAACUGUUUACCAAAAACACAGGUCUCCGCUAAGUCGUAAGACGAUGUAUGGGGGCUGACGCCUGCCCAGUGCCAGAAGGUUAAAGAAGUUGGUUAGCAUUCGCGAAGCUGAUAACUGAAGCCCUGGUGAACGGCGGCCGUAACAAUAACGGUCCUAAGGUAGCGAAAUUCCUUGUCGGGUAAGUUCCGACCCGCACGAAAGGCGUAAUGAUUUGGAUACUGUCUCGGAGAGGGGCUCGGUGAAAUAGACUUGUCUGUGAAGAUGCGGACUACCUGCACCUGGACAGAAAGACCCUAUGAAGCUUUACUGUAACUUGAGAUUGAAAUUGGACUUUAUUUGCGCAGUAUAGGUGGGAGGCGUUGAGAAUAAUCUUGUGGGAUUAUCGGAGCCAUCAGUGAGAUACCACUCUUGUAAUGUUAGAUUUCUAACUUUGUAUCAUUAUCUGGUCAAAGAACAGUUUCAGGCGGGCAGUUUGACUGGGGCGGUCGCCUCCCAAAGGGUAACGGAGGCGCACAAAGGUUUCCUCUGAACGGGUAGAAAUCGUAUCUAGGGUGUAAAGGCAUAAGGAAGCUUGACUGUGAGACCUACAAGUCGAGCAGGGACGAAAGUCGGUCUUAGUGAUCUGACGGUGCUGAGUGGAAAGGCCGUCACUCAACGGAUAAAAGUUACUCUAAGGAUAACAGGCUGAUCUCCCCCAAGAGUUCACAUCGACGGGGAGGUUUGGCACCUCGAUGUCGGCUCAUCGCAUCCUGGGGCGGUAGUACGUCCCAAGGGUUGGGCUGUUCGCCCAUGAAAGCGGUACGCGAGCUGGGUUCAGAACGUCGUGAGACAGUUCGGUCCAUAUCCGGUGUAGGCGUUAGAAUAUUGAAAGGAGCCUUCUCUAGUACGAGAGGACCGAGAAGGACAUACCUCUGGUGUGCCAGUUAUCGUGCCAACGGUAAACGCUGGGUAGCUAUGUAUGGAGUGGAUAACCGCUGAAAGCAUCUAAGUGGGAAGCCCACCUUAAGAUAAGUAUUCUCAC
This 1244-nucleotide ribosomal RNA is filed under the name metagenome. RNAcentral's name for it is "bacterial LSU rRNA". It matches the Rfam family "Bacterial large subunit ribosomal RNA", at positions 1564 to 2817 of the family's 2925-position model. The record is from RNAcentral.